Molecule: ribosomal RNA, 444 nt
Filed under: Triticum aestivum (bread wheat)
Lineage: Eukaryota; Viridiplantae; Streptophyta; Magnoliopsida; Poales; Poaceae
Description: partial small subunit ribosomal RNA
Source: RNAcentral
AUGGAUAGGCAAGGCAUUUCAUCUUCGGUCUUCGACAACAAUGACAGCAUGAACAACUACAUCACUAAAGCGUCAAUCUUCAAUCUACAACGACAAAUGCAAGGCGCACAAUCAAGAUUGCGAGAGCGCAUAGAGAACCUCUCCGUCGACAUUUGUCACUCCGAAGCAAGGAAAAGGGACUACAUCGACAACAAGCUUUCCGCACAAAAGGAGGAGAAAGAUGCAAAGAUGGGGGAGAUUCAGACCUUGUUGAUCAACCGUUCUUCCCCUUCAUCAUCCUCAAGGCGGCGACGUUCAAGUCACAAGUCUUCGGAGCGCAAAAAUGAUGCAAGCGCAAGUCGUCCACAUCCACAUCUCCAUGGCGACCAUCAUCACGUUCGUGAUCAGCAUCAUCAUGAAGAGCAAGUCACCUCCAAGCAUCAUGUGCACGACGACAACGAAUGA